GUAGGGAAUAUUGGACAAUGGGCGAAAGCCUGAUCCAGCCAUGCCGCGUGAACGAUGAAGGCCUUCGGGUUGUAAAGUUCUUUAGCCGAUGAUUAUAAUGACUGUAGUCGGAAAAUAAGCCCCGGCUAACUUCGUGCCAGCAGCCGCGGUAAUACGAAGGGGGCGAGCGUUAUUCGGAAUCACUGGGCGUAAAGCGUGCGUAGGCGGUUUUGUAAGUUAGGAGUGAAAGCCCAGGGCUCAACCUUGGAAUUGCUCUUAAAACUGCAAGGCUCGAAUCUCGGAGAGGAUAGCGGAAUUUCCAGUGUAGCAGUGAAAUGCGUAGAUAUUGGAAGGAACACCAGUGGCGUAAGCGGCUAUCUGGACGAGUAUUGACGCUGAGGCACGAAAGCGUGGGGAUCAAACAGGAUUAGAAACCCUGGUAGUCC
RNAcentral lists this ribosomal RNA (425 nucleotides) under uncultured bacterium. RNAcentral's name for it is "partial 16S ribosomal RNA". It matches the Rfam family "Bacterial small subunit ribosomal RNA", at positions 354 to 796 of the family's 1533-position model. The record is from RNAcentral.